RNAcentral lists this ribosomal RNA (253 nucleotides) under uncultured bacterium. RNAcentral describes it as "partial 16S ribosomal RNA". It matches the Rfam family "Bacterial small subunit ribosomal RNA", at positions 524 to 776 of the family's 1533-position model. The record is from RNAcentral.
UACAGAGACUGCAAGCGUUAUUCGGAUUCACUGGGCGUAAAGGGUGCGCAGGCGGCCGAGUGUGUUAGAUGUGAAAUCCCGGGGCUCAACCCCGGAACUGCGUCUAAAACUACUUGGCUAGAGUAUUGGAGAGGGUAGCGGAAUUCACGGUGUAGCAGUGAAAUGCGUAGAUAUCGUGAGGAACACCAGAGGCGAAGGCGGCUACCUGGACAAUUACUGACGCUCAGGCACGAAAGCGUGGGGAGCAAAAGGG